This 117-nucleotide ribosomal RNA is filed under the name Chrysomya megacephala (oriental latrine fly). RNAcentral describes it as "partial 16S ribosomal RNA". The record is from RNAcentral. Lineage: Eukaryota; Metazoa; Arthropoda; Insecta; Diptera; Calliphoridae.
AAGAAUUUAAAAGUCGAACAGACUUAAAAUUUAAGCUACUACACCUAAAAUUAUAUCUUAAUCCAACAUCGAGGUCGCAAUCUUUUUUAUCGAUAUGAACUCUCCAAAAAAAUUACG